AGCGAACGCUGGCGGCAGGCCUAACACAUGCAAGUCGAACGAAGUCUUCGGACUUAGUGGCGGACGGGUGAGUAACACGUGGGAACGUGCCCUUUGGUACGGAAUAACUCAGGGAAACUUGAGCUAAUACCGUAUGUGCCCUUCGGGGGAAAGAUUUAUCGCCAUUGGAGCGGCCCGCGUCUGAUUAGCUAGUUGGUGGUGUAAUGGACCACCAAGGCGACGAUCAGUAGCUGGCCUGAGAGGAUGAUCAGCCACAUUGGGACUGAGACACGGCCCAAACUCCUACGGGAGGCAGCAGUGGGGAAUCUUGCGCAAUGGGCGAAAGCCUGACGCAGCCAUGCCGCGUGAAUGAUGAAGGUCUUAGGAUUGUAAAAUUCUUUCACCGGGGACAAUAAUGACGGUACCCGGAGAAGAAGCCCCGGCUAACUUCGUGCCAGCCGCCGCGGUAA
Molecule: ribosomal RNA, 449 nt
Filed under: uncultured bacterium
Lineage: Bacteria
Description: partial 16S ribosomal RNA
Rfam family: Bacterial small subunit ribosomal RNA
Source: RNAcentral